Non-coding RNA from Zootermopsis nevadensis, 217 nucleotides. NCBI's taxonomy places the organism in Eukaryota, Metazoa, Arthropoda, Insecta, Blattodea, Termopsidae. The record is from RefSeq and is a predicted model, not a curated record.
CAGGCACAUUCGGCAGAAGGAAUUUUGAAUGGCUUGCAUCAAUCUCAUACAUGGCAACCACGGGCUUAAAAUUAUUUAUGAAAAAGAAUGUAAGGAAGGAAACGUGUUAUUUUGUUAUCCUGGAGGUACCUUGCAUUAUAAACGAGAGAGAAACGGGUGUAAAAUUGUCAUAGCUGAAGCUGUCGAUGUCGGUCGGCGUGAUGGAUGAGCUAAUGUG